This is a long non-coding RNA of Mus musculus (house mouse), 4397 nucleotides long. RefSeq annotates it as predicted gene, 53748. Lineage: Eukaryota; Metazoa; Chordata; Mammalia; Rodentia; Muridae. The record is from RefSeq and is a predicted model, not a curated record. The transcript is spliced from 2 exons.
UUAAAGCCGUGCGCCACCACGCCCGGCCAGACAUUGCAGCCGUGCACCACUCACCGCUCAUGGCUGUUUACAUUGAUUCAGCAGCUAUUGUGCCAACUGAGCCAUCUCGUCAGCCCAUAACAGUAAGUUGUAAUUUAUCUUUAGAUUAAUUUAAUUCAAAAAAUUAAAUGGUAUUAAAUUAUUUAUAAAAUAAAGAUAAGAUUUAUUAAAAAGAAUAACAAGCCAUAGAAAGUAGAUCAUGUCUGUAAUAUAAGCACUGUGGAGCCUAAGUCAGGAGGAUUGCUCAGUGACUGAAACCAUUCUUAGCGAGGUGGGUUAUAUGAGGCAUGCAGACACGCAGAGGUCAGGCUGAUGUUGGGUGUCUUCCUCAGCUGCUCCCCACUCUGUUUCUGCGGAGGCAAGGUCUCUUGCUGAACCAGGAACUUUGCAAUUCUGGUUGCUUAGCUUGCUAGCUUAUUCCAGGGAUCCACUGUCUUCACCUUCCAAACACUGGGAUUACAGGUGAACCGUCAUAUAUCCCCUGGUUUUCAUGUGAGUUCUGGGCUUUUAACUCUAAUCCUCAUGCUUAUAUAGCAAGUAUUUUACUUUCUUUUUCUUUUUUUGUUGUCUUUUUGUUUUGGGGGUUUUAUUUAUUUAUUUAUUUAUUUAUUUAUUUAAUUUUUUGGCAAGUAUUUUUCAUAACCAGCCAUCUCCCUAGCCCCAUGAAUUUCCUGAGCCUCUAAUCAUACAGUCUUUACUUGUCCAGCACUGGGAUUGUAGGCAUAGACUACUGUACCUAGUUUAUGUAGUGCUGGGAAUCAAACCUAGUACAUCAUCUAUCCUAGGCAAGUACUCAGCAACACAACUGUGUCCCCUGUCUGUCUGUCUGCCUGCCUGCCUGUCUGUCUCUGUCUUUCUCUCUCCCUCCCUCUCUCUCCCUCCACCCCUCUCUUUGAGCUCAUUGGUCUGUCUGUCUUUUUGUCCAUCCCCAGCACUGGGGUUACAGAAGUGCUGUCUGUCAUGCUCAGCUUUUACAUGAGGGGUGGGAGUCAGCACCAAGUUCCUCAUGCUUGCAAAGCAAGAACUUUGCCAACUAAGUCAUUUCCCCAGUUCUCUCUUUCUCUUCUUCCUCCUUUUUUAAUUAGGUUAAAGACACAUAAAAUUGGGCUAGGGAGAUGGCUGAGUGGUUAAGAGACUGGUUGUUCUUCAGAAAACCUGAGUUUAAUUCCCAGCACAUACAUGAUACCUCAUGACUGUCUCUCUCAGGGGAUCCAAAGCAGUCUUAUGGUCUCUGAGUCCUCCACAACCAUAGUACACAGACAUACAUAUAGGCAAACACCCAUACACAUAAAAUAAGAUAAAAAUGUUUAAGAAACACAUAAAGUUAUCUUAACAAAUUUGAAGUAUAUGCAUCAUAAACAUACCAUAAAAUUUGCUCAUUGUGGCAAAUUACAUUACUUUUACUAAAUUUAUAGCAUUUUUAACCAUCACUACCAUCUGGUUGCAGAUAUUUUCAUCAUCCAAAGAAGUGUCUGUCUUUUUUAUAAAUUGGCACUCACAGAUCCAGCCCUGUCUUUGUUACUUUUCUAUUGCUGCAAAGAUAUACCACAAUCAAGGAAACUUAUAGAAGAAAUAGCUUACUAUGGUUUGCAAUUCAUGAGGAUUAGGGACCAUACCAUUGUGGCAGAAGGCAGACAAAGAAGGAAGAAGGCUGGAGCCUUAGCUGAGAGCUCACACCUCAUAUGUGAACACAGCAGAUAGAGGCAGAGGCUAACUGGGCUGUGAGACCAAGUGGCACACCUUCUCCAGGAAGGUCACAUCUCUUACUCCUUUCUCAACAGUUCCACCAUCUGGGAACCAAGCAUUCAGACAUAUGAGUCUAUGGUGCCGUUCUCAUUCAAACCACGGCAAGCCGUAAGACAACCUCCAGUCUGCAGGAGUUCCUCUUACCAUGAAGAGUACAUCUAAGUCCCCAGUGGGUUUGAGAAACUGCAGAUUAUACUAAAGCACUUGAAUGUAUGUGUGCCUGUGCAUGCAUGUGUUUAUGUAUGUAUAUGUAUAUGUGAAUAUACAUUUAACAUGUAUGUUUGUGUGUACUUAGGGACUAAGAAGAUAGCUCAGUGGGUAAAACGCUUGCUGACAAGCCUGAAAACUGGGAUUGGAUUCUCAGAUCCCAUAUAAAAACCUCCAGACAGUAGUAGUAGUAGUAGUAUCUCUAGUCCCAGAAUACCCUAACCAAGAGACAGGUGGAGACAUGGCUGGAAGAUUGUGGGCCAGCUAGCUUAAUACAUGCUGCAGUGCUCCUCUGUACAUCAUCUCCUGAGUUCUAGAGAUAAAGUUCAGGUUGCCAAGUUUGUAGGGCCCUGCUUUACCAGCUUUCUCUUCAACCUGGAAAGUUUCUUAAUUAAAAAUUUAAAGCCGGGCUUGGUGGCGCACGCCUUUAAUCCCAGCACUCGGGAGGCAGAGGCAGGCGGAUUUCUGAGUUUGAGGCCAGCCUGGUCUACAGAGUUGAGUUCCAGGACAGCCAGGGCUACACAGAGAAAUCCUGUCUCGAAAAACCAAAAAAAAAAAAAAGAAAAAAAAUUUUUAAAAAAUAUUAAAAGAAUUGUUCUUUUUUUGGGUAUUGUUUGGUUUGCCUAUCAAAAAUUUGAGUCUUGGGCUGGCGAGAUGGCUCAGUGGGUAAGAGCACAGACUGCUUUACCGAAGGUCCUGGGUUCAAAUCCCAGCAACCAUAUGGUGGCUCACAACUACCCGUAAUGAGAUCUGACACCCUCUUCUGGUGUGUCUGAAGACAGCUACAGUGUACUUAGGUAUAAUAAUAAAUAAAUCUUUAAAAAAAAAUCGAGUCUUCUAGAAAGGAUUGCCCUUAAAAACCUUUGCCUCAAAUAAUCCUCUCAGUAAAGGUCCAAGGAGCCUGAGCUCCCACAAACCAGAAAAUGUUACAAACUGGUGAGAAUAAGAAGUAAAAGAAAACAUGGUAAACUCCCUCAAAGAGUCUUAGUUGUCAGGUAUAAAAAUGUGUGGACUUGGUACCUUUAUUUGUAACAGUAGGAGGUUAAAAAUGGAAAAUGUUACAAUUAAUUUUGGGGAGAAAAAAAACCCUGGAAAGUAGCAAAAAACACAAAGGAAAUGCAAAUCAAACGUCUAUGAACUGAAAACGAACUAGAAAUCUCAAUGAGAAAAAAUAAAUAUCAGAGUAGACAUCUAAUCUGGACUGGAAGAAAAUUACUGAAAGAUAAAUCUGGGAUAUUAGAAUAUAGAAUGCUGUGAAAGAGAUGAAGACAGAGAUGAAAUUCUAGCAUCUAGGUUAAAGAAAGUCAGUUGAAAAUUAGCCUUCCAGAGCGUGAAAUAAAGAUAGAGGCAACAGUGGCAAAUCUCAGCAAAUCCUAGUGAUUAUUUUCAAAGAGAGGCUGGGCACACUGUAGAGUUACCCUGAAGGUCUGUAGUUGUAACCUCAGCUUUAAAGAGGCAAAGAAAAGGAUUGCGGUGUGGUCAAGUCCAUCCUUGACUAUGUAGCAAUACCCAAUCUUCAAAAUAAAAGGAAUUGGGAGCUGGCAGGGAGAUGACUCAGCAGUUAAGGACAGGGCUGCUCUUGCAGAGGACUGUCUAUAACUCAGUUUCACGGAAUUUGAUGCCCUUUUUCGCACCUUCUAUACAUCAGGGUGUGGUCAUAGAGUGUUUGAACUUUGGAAAUAUAAAUUUGGGAACCAGCAAUUUAUAGAUGAUAUUUAAUGCAGAAGAGAAAACAAAAAGAUUAAAACUGGUUACUAGUUUAUUACUUUCUUAGAUGGCUAAUACAUUUUUUGUAGUUUUUUUCUUAGAUGUAAUCUGAAGGCAAUUUUUAAUUUCCAAAUAUCUGAGACUUUAGUAUUUUUGGGUGCUCUCUUUGCACCCAAACUUGGUCAAAGGUAAUAUUCUAUAUGAUAAGGAUUUGUUAAUAGAGAUGAGCUUUCUUCUCUGGUUGUCCUAUGUAGACCAGGCUGGCCUUGAACUCACAAAGAUCCCCUACCUCUUCCUCCCAAGUACCACUACACUUGGCUGGAACAAUUCUUCUAAAUAAUUUUUGUGAGUUUAAAAAAAUAUUUUCACCUUGUUAAGGUGAGUCUCUACAUUGCCAUGAUAUCAAGCCUACUUAAGUAAAUCCAGUGUUUACAUUUAAACACAUGGGUGACUGUAGGAGUGUGUCAGCUGGCAUGGUGUUCUGGAGGAGGCUGCUGUAAAGUCUCUGUUCAGGACAUUAGAUGCAGAAGACCAGCUUCUAUCCAGUCUAUGCAGAAACAGAGAUGACAGACACCUUGUGGUAAUUGUCACCAACUCAGAGAACCUGUAGUGACAACAAAGGUGCAGAUGUCAGGGAUGUAAGGACCGGAUAAAACUGAGUCUCCAUGGACCUUCAACAUUUGUGAUGGAUAUGGAAA